CCACGGCUAACUACGUGCCAGCAGCCGCGGUAAUACGUAGGUGGCAAGCGUUAUCCGGAAUUAUUGGGCGUAAAGCGCGCGUAGGCGGUUUUUUAAGUCUGAUGUGAAAGCCCACGGCUCAACCGUGGAGGGUCAUUGGAAACUGGGAAACUUGAGUGCAGAAGAGGAAAGUGGAAUUCCAUGUGUAGCGGUGAAAUGCGCAGAGAUAUGGAGGAACACCAGUGGCGAAGGCGACUUUCUGGUCUGUAACUGACGCUGAUGUGCGAAAGCGUGGGGAUCAAACAGGAUUAGAU
This 293-nucleotide ribosomal RNA is filed under the name Staphylococcus aureus. RNAcentral's name for it is "partial 16S ribosomal RNA". It matches the Rfam family "Bacterial small subunit ribosomal RNA", at positions 491 to 783 of the family's 1533-position model. Lineage: Bacteria; Bacillati; Bacillota; Bacilli; Caryophanales; Staphylococcaceae. The record is from RNAcentral.